GCAACGCGAAGAACCUUACCUGGUCUUGACAUCCCGGAGACCCUUAGGAAACUAGGGGUGCUUCCAUCUGGAAGAAUCUGGAGGACAGGUGCUGCAUGGCUGUCGUCAGCUCGUGUCGUGAGAUGUUGGGUUAAGUCCCGCAACGAGCGCAACCCUUGCCUUUAGUUGCCAGCAGUUCGGCUGGGCACUCUAAAGGGACUGCCGGUGUUAAACCGGAGGAAGGUGGGGAUGACGUCAAGUCCUCAUGGCCUUUAUGACCAGGGCUACACACGUACUACAAUGGCCGAUACAAAGGGCAGCGACACUGCGAGGUGAAGCCAAUCCCGUAAAAUCGGUCUCAGUCCGGAUUGGAGUCUGCAACUCGACUCCAUGAAGUUGGAAUCGCUAGUAAUCGUGGAUCAGCAUGCCACGGUGAAUACGUUCCCGGGCCUU
This 432-nucleotide ribosomal RNA is filed under the name uncultured Desulfobulbus sp. RNAcentral describes it as "bacterial SSU rRNA". It matches the Rfam family "Bacterial small subunit ribosomal RNA", at positions 956 to 1382 of the family's 1533-position model. The record is from RNAcentral. Lineage: Bacteria; Pseudomonadati; Thermodesulfobacteriota; Desulfobulbia; Desulfobulbales; Desulfobulbaceae.